RNAcentral lists this long non-coding RNA (2037 nucleotides) under Limulus polyphemus (Atlantic horseshoe crab). RNAcentral describes it as "uncharacterized LOC106457716". Lineage: Eukaryota; Metazoa; Arthropoda; Merostomata; Xiphosura; Limulidae. The record is from RNAcentral.
UGGGACAGUCGAGAUGGACUAAUAUAUCCCUUGUUGUCCCAAAACAUUAUGUUAUGUUAUGACCACUGACCAUUUCAGCAAGCUUGUGUAUAUGGCUUGAAAUAAUUAGAAUGACUUAUUUUUCCAUGAAACUUUAUGUAUAUUCUGUUCAACAAAAAGGAAAUGUACAUCUAGAUUAACACUGUAAUUUGUUUAUACUUGUAUCAUCACAUAGUUUUCUUCUGUACUUUUUAAAUCUCUCUAUAUAUACUACAAAACUAUACAUCACUUAUGGUGUAUUUGAGAUGUUUUGACAAGUAGAUAUUCUUCCUGUGAUAAGUACUAUGUAACCCUCUUUUUUUCAUGUAUGAUGGUCCUUAUCUUGUUGAUAUAGUCACUAAUUAAGAUUUUGUUGUUGUUGUCAGGGGGACUUGAUUCUAGAUUGUAAGAACUCGCUGGUAGAAGUGAUUGUAAAAAUCGUCAUGGCUAGCAAAAACAAGUCUUUAGUAAAGGUAGAGGAAUCAGGGUGCAUACCUCACUACUUAAUAAGUGGCAAGCAAGGAAUUAUAAACUUCUCUACUGGAAUGCAACCUGCAAUUUCUAAAGGAAAAGAUGGACAUCUCACAGUGAUUGCUGUGUCUCCAUAAGUUCAUUGCAGACUCAUUAACAUUGAAAGAAGAAAGCUUAUUGCAAAACUCUAGCAAGAGAACUCUAAAGUUUCCUAAGGAUUUUGUAUAAUUUUUCUAGUAAAAUAACAGCUGUUACUUUUUGUCUAACAUGCCUUAUGUAUGAUAGAUGUAUCAUGCAAUUAGUAAUCAUCUAGAACAUAACUCACAGUAUGGUGCUACUGUUCAGUACUUGUUAUUUAACUGUUUUUUUAAUGAAUUAUUUUGAAAUUAAAACUAAAGUUUAAAGAUUUGUAAUGGUUGAAAUUAAUAUUCUUAUUAAUGAAGUACUAUAUGAAUAAUUUGGCCCAUAAUAGUUUCUUCUCUUAAAAAACAGUGUGUUUAUUUUCACUAUUUAGAGAAGCACUAAUAAUUAAUUAAAAAAAAACGAUUUUUGUUGUCUUAAGAAAAGCACCAGAUCCAAAACAAUUACUAACCUGCACUGAAACUUGAGAGCUCUAAUUUGUAUGCACAAAAAAUGUUGGAUUUUUAAGUAUUUUCUCUUGAUCAAUAUCGAAAACUAAAAAAAUAUCUUAUUUAUAUUUCCUACUUAAAAUUUUCUUUAAAUAUCACCUUGUAUUUCUCCUCUAUACUUUAAAAAGCGUUAUGGUUUUUCUUGUAUUAAAAGUAUAUAUGUAUUUAAUUAUGAUGAAUGUAUAUACUUGGUUUUAUUGUAACAAAAUUAUGUCAAGAAAUUCAUAUUUCUUAUUAAAGUAUUCAGACUUCAAUAAGCGUGGCUUUAUUGACAAGAUUAUAGUUGGGUUGAUUGGCUUACCAGAUUUUAACAAAAUUGAUCUGCUUUUCAAAUUACAGCAUUGUUAAUGUGAUCUAACAAACUGUAUCAUUGUUGGUCUGUUCUACCAUGUUGUAGUAUUGAUGGUCAGAACUACCAUACUUUGAUAAACUUGUUCUGAUCAUUUAUGCUUUAGUAGACUUGGUCUGACUUGAUUAACCAAAUUUUAGACAUAGCUGGUCUGACUUACCAGGUUUUUUAUAGAAUAGAUUGAACUUAUCAGAACCUGUAUGUUUUAAUUAAUAGUAUGCCAUACUUUUGUGAUAUGUAUUUAACUUAACAAGUGUUUAUCUACCUUUACAAAACCUGGAAGUAUUUGUUAUUCACCAGUGAUACAAAGAAUGAUUAAAAUCACAUUUAUUUUUUUCAUUUACAAUAAACUAAUUGCUUUCACUAUGAAACACAAAAUGAAUGAGAACAUCAAAAAGUGCUUUUUCAAGCAAGUAAUUGUUAAUUCAAGGGUUGUUAAGGUUUAAAAAAACACUUCUAAAAAUUCGAUUGGAGUAUUGUUGUUGUACUGUAUUUAAAUUUCCUUCUCACAGACUUUAGUUUUUGUUACGAUUAAUUUAAUGUGUAAUGUUUUUUUUUUUUUUGAUAAUC